CAGUGAUGUCAGCGAGGGUGGGGUGGAGUGUGGUGCGUGUGCAGCCUCCGGAGGCAUCUGCUCCUGGGUCCCUGAUUCUGAGUGUGAUCCGCUGCCUUCCUGCGUGUUUCCCUAUGACUGCCUGAGCGAACAUUCUAGAGCUCACUCGUGGCAAGACUGACUGCCUCAGUGGCAAGUUGCAGAGAAUGAGUGUGUUUUGUCCUUGCCCACAAGGCUUAUGAAGAGCUGUAAAGAGUUCCUCUGUGACUUGUGUAUCCCUUCUCUGUAUGUGUCUCUCAAACAUUCAUCAAGUGGCAGCCAGGGUCAAGAUACAAUGACAAGCGUGGCAGUCCAUACCCUCAGGGGUGUGGUGUCAUCAGGAAGGACUGUAUUGUCAACAAAUCACAGCAAAAAAUGGCAAAGCUGUGAUGAUUCAAGCUCGUAUAAAUUACUGAGAAGAGGGAAGCUAGGUAGAGUUCAGGUCCCUGAGGAAGUUGAGGAAGAUGGUACUUUUAGUCCAGGAAAUGAAGUUUGGGUGGGGUUUUCCAGAAAACAAAUGAGAUCAGGUUACUCAGGGCAGAGGAAACAGCAGGUGAAAAGACAAAAGCCUGCCCUGCUUGGAGAAUUGUUUAGUAGCUCAAUGUGGCUGGAGCAUCAUUUAGAGGGAUGGCGGUCAAGAGUGAAUGGGAUAAUUGAUUAUAAAGUUUAUAGAGAUGGAAAUAAUUGCUAAAAGGAAAAACAAAGCAACAAUGUGCAAAACAAAAUAAGGUCCCACCCCAUUCACUGAUCUGUGCUUUGACACUGCCUUUCUUUGAAAUUUUUUGAAAGAGAUGAAUCACCCAGAAUUUCUAAUGGUGGGAUUUUUAUUUUAAAGAUGGAUUUCUUUUUUCAGAGGAAAAUCAAACUGAGAUUAUCUGGGGUGUUUUAUCAACAGGAUUAAAAUUCUGGGUUUUACUGUAUGAUUUCACUCAUGUGGAAGAUAAACAAAUACAUGGACACAUGCCCCUCACCCCACCUGCUAUGGACUGAAUUCUAUCCCUCCAAAGAUGUUAUAGUCCUAACCUCUAGCACCUGUGGAUGAGACCAUAUUCGGAAGUAGAGUCUUUGAAGAAGAUCAAAUUAACAUGAGGUCAUUAGGACGGGCCCUUACCCAACACGACCAUCUCCUAAAAGGGGAAAAUUUGGAAACAGAUAUGCACACAGAAAGAACAUCAUGUGAACACGAAGGCAGAGAUUGGGAUGAUGCUUCUACAAACCAAGGAAUGCCAGAAAUUUCCAGCAACCACCAGAUGCUAAGAGAGAGGCUUGGAACAGUUUCUCCUUUACAACCCCCAGAGGGAACUAAACCUACUGACAUCUUGAUUUCAGACUUCUAGACUCCAGAACUGUGAGACAAUAAAUUUCCAUUGUUUAAGCCACUCAGUUUGUUGCCCUUUGUUACAGCAGCCCCAGGAAACUGACACAGUACCAGAUUUCGGAAGCAGCUUUGCUGCAGCCUGGGAUAGAUGGGAGAAAGGAGUGCCUGAGAGUGGGAUGCCUGCCUGAUGGGGAGAGAAUUUAAGAUAGAUGGGAAGUAUACAUGGAAAGCUCAGAGGAAUGGCACUCUAGAGGGUUCUGAGCUACAUAAGAUGACUAUCCAGAUCAGACCUGGCUCUUUGGUACUUUUCAAAGAAAACUGAUUUUAUGACAAUGCAACUGAAAGGGCUUUAGAUUGGAGAGUACUGUAGAACUCAAAUAAGUGCUUCUUCGGUAAUCAAAAUAAGUUCAUUCUUGAGUGAGGGAAUAUGUAUUUAAUGUAGCCAUCCAAGGAAAUCAUGCGACAUGGACUUUCAAAGCAUGUGCUUCACAAAAGAAAGGAAUGAUUAUCCGCUUCUUUCCUAAAAGUUGAAUAGCUGUCAUUUGUUCACACCGAGGAGGCUCUGCAAUGUGGCUUUAGACUGCUGUGCUUGUGGGUCAUACGGCAGCAUCUUCACGAAACAUGGAUGCAAAAUAAGAUGAAAGUUGAACGACAAGAAGAUAAAGAUACAGUUGGGAAGUUCUCAUUUGUGGUGUGAGAUUCCAGGGCAAAGAGGUCCAAACUGCAAAAAGUGAACUGGGGAGCAGGCUUUCUGGAGUUAUAAAGAAGUGGAUCUUUCUCUUGGCAACCCUUGGGCACCCUAAGAGAGGGGACAGCAUCUGAAUCCUUGAUAUGUCUCUGGUGCCUGUCUUAUGGUCUAACACCUGGCAGGUAAUUAACAAGUGCUUUAUGAAAGAAUACAUGAAUGAAAUCACUGAUUGACAGACUGACCUUGAUUUCUCAAUCCUUGGUUAAUUAUUUAAAAUAUAUUUGGAUCUCAGGCACACAGAAGUGUCUUGCCUACUUGUCAUAAAUGUGUCCAUGGCCCUCUCUUAUUUAACUCCAUCUUCUUGUUUUCUCCUUCAUCCUUCAUCUCUCUAUUUCCAGUUGCAUGUACCCAUCUGUCAACCACUUUAUCUAGAAUAACCACAUUAGUUAGGGUAUUUCUAUCUGUUGUAACAAAUAAAUCUAAAAUCUCAGUGACUUGACUAAAUAGAAUUGUAUAUCUUGCUCACGUGUUUAUGUAUGUGUGUGUUGGAGGAACUAUCUCGUUGUCUCUGUCUCUCUCUGGGUACAUACGUACAUAUAGACAGAGAGAUAGAGACAGACAGAAAGAGAAAGACGGAAUUAUAAAGAUACAUAGAGAAGAUGCACGAAUGAGAGAGAGUGAAAGGAAAAUACGCACUGAAAGGUGAACCCUGGUUACUUCCGGAUGCUAGGAUUAUAGGUAGCUUUUAUUUUCUUCUUUACAUAUUUUUUUGCAUUUCCAAAUCUUCUAAGACAACUAUAUUAUUAAAAAAAGUUAGUUUUUUGAUUUUUUAAAAAGAGACACUAGCACAGAAAUGUAAUACAGAAGAAGCUAUGAGGACUUGGUGAGAAGAAAGGCCACUCUGGGAUCCAGAGAGCAAUGGGAAGUGAUUCUAGUCAAGAAAGAAAAAGCAAUGGAAAGAAAGAGAAGUGAGUAGUGACUGUGACAAAAAUCGGUGAAUUUCCUUCCCCUCUGAAAACUCUGGUGAAUGUUCUGAUGGCGUGUGUCUCUGGCUGAAAGUUGCCUAAAUGGAUGAUACAUUCUGUGAUUUCACAGGAAAUGGAAGUCAAGUGACUGGAGCUCCAGCAGCCACUGAAGGGCAAGUGAUGGUGGAGAGCCCAGAUGACAGGUCAACUGAGGUGGAGCCACUUGUGCCUCUCAGGGCAAACAGCGGCAUCCCAAGGGGUCAUCCAGUGUCAGAUUCCUUUGUCUUCAAACUUACCUUUCCCUCUCCCCACACUCCAUUGCUGCUUUCACCAAUAAAGGUUUAUAUGCCUCACCACCUAGGGGAGCUUGCUCUGAUCACUGUAAUGCAGAAAGCCCAGGAGAAUGGUUUCAGCUCCCAUAGGCUGAAAUCCUGAAUUUGACUAUAGAAAUGGUGUUCCAAAAUGUGACUUGGUUUUAUAACAUGUCCACCAUGGCUUUAUAGAAAGUCUACUAUCUAGAACAUUAAAUUACAAACUUAUUUCUCUCUUAGAAACAAAGGGUUUAAUCUAAAUAUUAGAACAUAAGUUAUCCUUAAGUGUAUUCUUGCUACCCUAAAGAAAACACUAUGCAAAUUAAAAAGACAAUAAGAAAAGAGAAAAUGUAAGCAAGGAAUAAACAUUUGAAAAAAAUUUAACUUCACUAAUAAACAGAGAAACAUAAAUUAAAAAUAAAACGUUGUGUAUUAAAAAAAUUAGAAUUAAUUCUAUUUUCCAUGAAACAAAAUCAGGGCUCCUUGGAUAAAUGGCCGGUCUCAGAAUGAGGGCAGGGUAACUGUGAGAGGAACUCUGGAAUGGUUUUUGGUGGGGAGGCCAGAAUAUAAGGAAAGGUUUAAAAAAAUGAGGGGGACGUAGCCAAAGAAUUUAUGAGCAGACUUUCAAGGGUUCCCUUUAGCCAAAUCAGGGACAAUUUCAGUAUCAGAAUGAAUAAUAGCUGUAGUGGAUUAUAACACACUGAAUAUAAAAAGGAUCCACGUAUCAAAGCUUUUUGUUACAGUAAAAUAGCAAAUAAUAAAUGCAGAAGGAAUUCUAGAAUUAGAGAAAAUCACUGUGUUGCAACAAUCAUAGUAAUGAUUGUUUCAGACACGCAACAAAAUGGAUGCUAAAACCCAUGGGCGAGAGGUUUGUUGAAAGACAGGAUAUUUACACAGUCUCAAGUGUCUUCCUAUAGAAUAUGUAUUAAUUACAAAAAGGAAAAGCUACCUUUAGAGCAGAGAAACAUGGCAGAAUCACUGUAACCAUGUGAUCAAAGUUAGCAUCACCUACAGCAGGACAAACUGACAUCGUGAUGUAACACGCUGAGAAUGACACAACAUUGCUUCUAUGGCAUUCUUGCCAAAAAUACAUACCCUGAAUCUAAUUAUGAGGAAACUCAGGAAAACCAGAUGGAGGAACAUUUUAUAAAAAACGACCUGUCUGUGCCCUUCAAAUGUGUCAAUAUCACAAAAAACAAAGACUGAGAAACUGUUCCAGAUUGAAGAAACUGAAAAGACAUGACACAAUAUGUCACCCUGGAUUGGAUUCUAGAUCAGAAAACAAAAUGGUAUAAAAGACAGUAUUAGGGCAUUUUAAAUAUAGGACUUGGUGUUGGAUAAUAAUAUUUUAUCAAUGUUACAUAUGCUUAAUUUGAAAAUAUGACAAUAUAAGAGAG
RNAcentral lists this long non-coding RNA (4697 nucleotides) under Equus caballus (horse). RNAcentral's name for it is "lncRNA (ENSECAG00000036887.3)". The record is from RNAcentral. Lineage: Eukaryota; Metazoa; Chordata; Mammalia; Perissodactyla; Equidae.